GUGAUCUAGUGUAUGUUAACUAUGCACGAACUGAAGACUUCUUUAAAUUGGAACGGGACAUGAAAAUCAAUUGCUCUGGGAAAAUUGUAAUUGCCAGAUAUGGGAAAGUUUUCAGAGGAAAUAAGGUUAAAAAUGCCCAGCUGGCAGGGGCCAAAGGAGUCAUUCUCUACUCAGACCCUGCUGACUACUUUGCUCCUGGGGUGAAGUCUUAUCCAGAUGGUUGGAAUCUUCCUGGAGGUGGUGUCCAGCGUGGAAAUAUCCUAAAUCUGAAUGGUGCAGGAGACCCUCUCACACCAGGUUACCCAGCAAAUGGUGAGUGAUCAGUCCUUGAAUAUCAUAGGAAACUUAACAUUUGAAAGAGACUUUAUUAAAGAAUUUCCUUUGGCA
This 387-nucleotide small RNA is filed under the name Pongo abelii (Sumatran orangutan). RNAcentral's name for it is "retained intron". Lineage: Eukaryota; Metazoa; Chordata; Mammalia; Primates; Hominidae. The record is from RNAcentral.